CCUACGGGGCGCAGCAGUGGGGAAUAUUGCACAAUGGGGGAAACCCUGAUGCAGCGACGCCGCGUGAGUGAAGAAGUAUUUCGGUAUGUAAAGCUCUAUCAGCAGGGAAGAAGAAAGACGGUACCUGACUAAGAAGCCCCGGCUAACUACGUGCCAGCAGCCGCGGUAAUACGUAGGGGGCAAGCGUUAUCCGGAUUUACUGGGUGUAAAGGGAGCGUAGACGGCGCUGCAAGUCUGAAGUGAAAGGCGGGGGCUCAACCCCCGGACUGCUUUGGAAACUGUAUAGCUGGAGUGCAGGAGAGGUA
This 305-nucleotide ribosomal RNA is filed under the name uncultured bacterium. RNAcentral's name for it is "bacterial SSU rRNA". It matches the Rfam family "Bacterial small subunit ribosomal RNA", at positions 338 to 659 of the family's 1533-position model. The record is from RNAcentral.